This is a small nuclear RNA of Balaenoptera musculus (blue whale), 105 nucleotides long. Lineage: Eukaryota; Metazoa; Chordata; Mammalia; Artiodactyla; Balaenopteridae. The record is from Ensembl.
GUGUUCGCUUCAGCAGCAUAGAUACUAAAAUUGGAAGGAUACAGAGAUUAGCGUGGCCCUUGGGCAAGGGUACCCUUGCAAAUUCAUGAAGCAUUGCGUAGUUUU